RNAcentral lists this ribosomal RNA (141 nucleotides) under uncultured bacterium. RNAcentral's name for it is "partial 16S rRNA". It matches the Rfam family "Bacterial small subunit ribosomal RNA", at positions 355 to 511 of the family's 1533-position model. The record is from RNAcentral.
UGGGGAAUUUUCCGCGAUGGGCGAAAGCCUGACGGAGCAAUGCCGCGUGGAGGUGGAAGGCCUACGGGUCGUCAACUUCUUUUCUCGGAGAAGAAACAAUGACGGUAUCUGAGGAAUAAGCAUCGGCUAACUCUGUGCCAG